This 26-nucleotide non-coding RNA is filed under the name Sclerotinia sclerotiorum. The record is from RNAcentral. Lineage: Eukaryota; Fungi; Ascomycota; Leotiomycetes; Helotiales; Sclerotiniaceae.
AAGACAAAUAAGAACGUCACACGAUC